Molecule: long non-coding RNA, 812 nt
Filed under: Sus scrofa (pig)
Lineage: Eukaryota; Metazoa; Chordata; Mammalia; Artiodactyla; Suidae
Description: lncRNA (ENSSSCG00030039101.1, ENSSSCG00060035849.1)
Source: RNAcentral
GGGCGGUCGUUGGGGGGGGCGGUGGGAAGGGGCCGAGCUCGCGGCUGCAGCAGCCCUCUGCCCCUACCCCGGCCCUCUGCAGGUCUGCUGGUCGAAGUGACGCGGCGGCUCACUCGUGGCAACAAUCAGCAGGAGCAGGAGACAGCAAGGAUAGGCCCAGAAAAACAACCAGGAAAAAAAAAAUCUCAUCAUGGCAAAUAUUCACCAGGAAAACGAAGAAAUGGAGCAGCCCGUGCAGAACGGAGAGGAAGACCGCCCUUUGGGAGGGGUCGAAGGCCACCAGCCAGCAGCAAAUAAUAGACGGGGACAAGCUCGCCGACUUGCCCCUAAUUUCCGAUGGGCCAUACCCAAUAGGCAGAUCAAUGAUGGGAUGGGUGGAGAUGGAGAUGAUAUGGAAAUGUUCAUGGAGGAGAUGAGAGAAAUCAGGAGAAAACUUAGGGAGCUGCAGUUGAGGAAUUGUCUGCGUAUCCUUAUGGGGGAGCUCUCUAAUCACCAUGACCAUCAUGAUGAAUUUUGCCUUAUGCCUUGACUCCUGCCAUUUUCCAUGAGGUUAAUACUGUGAUUCCCACUGUUGUCCUCUUUUUCCUUACAUUUUCCUGAUAUGCCUUUACUGAUCCAUUUGCUGUGAACCUUAUGUAAUUUCCAUGUGUCAGGUGGGUUCUGUGUUACCAGCUUCUAAUUGGAGAUUGCCUUGGCACCCAAAGUUUCUGUCAACAGUAGAGUUUCACCCAUUUGCAUGGAAAAAUGUAAAGUCAAUAAAGCAAUUAAAAAGCAAUCUAUACGUUUAUCUUGUCUCAUUAAAAAUAGAACCU